AUGAAAGAGUACUCAGAUGUGGGGAAGUACCGUGGCCAAAAUGGGUGGACAAAGGAAGGAUGGCAGGCUAUGAAAGACCGAUUAAAUGCGAGACCUCCUGGAGCUAAUUUUACUGUUCAACAGCUGAAAGAUAGGGAGCAAAGGCUGAAGAAGGAACUGAAUGUCGUCAAGUCUAUUGUGGAAAAGAGUGGAUUUGGUUGGGAUCCCAAGAACAAAGUUCCAACGGCUUUAGAUGAAAAAUGGGAGGAGCUAUCAACUGAACAGCGCAAGUGGAGGAACCAUUCCCAUACUAUGAUGUUCUAUAUGAAAUUCAUGAAGGUAAAAUGGUAG
RNAcentral lists this ribosomal RNA (330 nucleotides) under Triticum aestivum (bread wheat). RNAcentral describes it as "partial small subunit ribosomal RNA". Lineage: Eukaryota; Viridiplantae; Streptophyta; Magnoliopsida; Poales; Poaceae. The record is from RNAcentral.